AAACUCAAAUGAAUUGACGGGGGCCCGCACAAGCGGUGGAGCAUGUGGUUUAAUUCGAUGCAACGCGAAGAACCUUACCUGGCCUUGACAUACAGAGAACUUUCCAGAGAUGGAUUGGUGCCUUCGGGAACUCUGAUACAGGUGCUGCAUGGCUGUCGUCAGCUCGUGUCGUGAGAUGUUGGGUUAAGUCCCGCAACGAGCGCAACCCUUUUCCUUAUUUGCCAGCACUUCGGGUGGGAACUUUAAGGAUACUGCCAGUGACAAACUGGAGGAAGGCGGGGACGACGUCAAGUCAUCAUGGCCCUUACGGCCAGGGCUACACACGUGCUACAAUGGUCGGUACAAAGGGUUGCUACUGCGCGAGCAGAUGCUAAUCUCAAAAAGCCGAUCGUAGUCCGGAUCGCAGUCUGCAACUCGACUGCGUGAAGUCGGAAUCGCUAGUAAUCGCGGAUCAGAAUGCCGCGGUGAAUACGUUCCCGGGCCUUGUACACACCGCCCGU
RNAcentral lists this ribosomal RNA (500 nucleotides) under Acinetobacter variabilis. RNAcentral's name for it is "bacterial SSU rRNA". It matches the Rfam family "Bacterial small subunit ribosomal RNA", at positions 897 to 1397 of the family's 1533-position model. Lineage: Bacteria; Pseudomonadati; Pseudomonadota; Gammaproteobacteria; Moraxellales; Moraxellaceae. The record is from RNAcentral.